This 253-nucleotide ribosomal RNA is filed under the name uncultured bacterium. RNAcentral describes it as "partial 16S ribosomal RNA". It matches the Rfam family "Bacterial small subunit ribosomal RNA", at positions 524 to 776 of the family's 1533-position model. The record is from RNAcentral.
UACGAAGGGGGCUAGCGUUGUUCGGAAUUACUGGGCGUAAAGCGCACGUAGGCGGACUUGUAAGUAGGGGGUGAAAUCCCCGGGCUCAACCCGGGAACUGCCUUCUAGACUGCAAGCCUGGAGGUCAGGAGAGGCGAGUGGAAUACCGAGUGUAGAGGUGAAAUUCGUAGAUAUUCGCAAGAACACCAGUGGCGAAGGCGGCUCACUGGCCCGAUACUGACGCUGAGGCACGAAAGCGUGGGGAGCAAACAGG